UGCAUGUACUUAGGCUCCUAAAUUUCCUUACCGAAGAAAAUCCUGAUCCAAUCAACUCGAGGGUUUCCUGUAUCAGGGUUCCCAAAAACACUUAAAUACUGCGCAGUUUCAGUAUAGCUAAUUAUAUCGUCCUUCGCAUUAAAUGUGAAAUCAGGAUUUCGUGCUCUUUCCGUUUUGAUUCGAUUUAGCCGUGCGUGAGCAGCUGCUCCCAAGCUCACAGUGCGGUCGUCGAUGAAGUAGUCGAGGACGCUCUGCCAAAUCGUCGCGUUGAAGCUGAUAUUGUCACCAAAGUAAAUGUCGCCUCGUGAUAAACUUGCGUCGUGUUCGGCAAACAAAUCGUGAUUAGCGAGAUCAUCUAGGUUGAAGUAGAGCUGAAGUGGAUUUUUCGCCCCUAUCAUCCCCCCGGUGCCAGCAACAAGUGUGAGAUCAAAUCCAACAUUCAACCCCUCCAAUAUGCCUUUAAGCAAGGUCGGAUAAGCCAUUCGCUUUCCGUUGCGAGGAAGUAUGCCAUGAUUUGCGAGACUGUUCAAUGCAGGGCAUGGUCCACGGACUGUCGACGUUAUCAGAAUUACAGAAUUUUCUUGCAAAAGACUUUUCGGUCAAAUAGCUUACCGUCAUCUGGUCCUGGUGGAUGCCAUCGCGUGUAAUCCACUGCUGCAGACACCAGACGAAAGCUCACAAAAACCAUCACAAUCACGGUGGUCAACAUGACUUGCAAUAACCCCAUUUGCGAUGUGUGGAUCUCCGUCUUUUGAGCUUGGAACGGAAAGAAAACUGCACGAAAGAAUCAAUCCCAUGCGAUUUCACUUGCUGUCAAUGAUAUAUGUGCUAUAUUCUGGUAAGAGUCUGGAAGCAAGGAGAGCGAUUAACUGUGAGUAGCAAUUGCAAAAAGGACAUCUGCGCACGGUCACAGCAAGCUCAUGAUCUGUCCAGAUCCUCAUCCAGGAUCUACAAACUAAAGCCUUCCAUAAUCUCCGUGAAAGGGAAUUGAGAUAUUGGUGGAGAUCCUCAGCACAAUUCCCAGCACUGGUUAUUUGCUUGGCUCGAAGUAGUUAUCAUAUCAUAGGUAUCGGAUGUGAAUGACCCAUGGGCAGCCAUUCUGCCAAUUCCUCGCCAACUACGUGGUAGCGCAAUGUCCUCUAACCUUCGAGCGCAUCAGAUGGACUCACUUCAACAAGCGGGUUGAUAAUCGAUCCACUGUCGAUCAGAUCAUCUAAGCGUUUAGAGCGCCACUCGCAUAAUUAGGGAUGGUUUGAAUAGUGAUGAGCUCCUUCAGCCUAAAAACAUAUGGCGUAUUCUCUGAGAAGCCAUGGAUAUGAGGUUGAAUUGCCAAUGAUACUAAAUAAAGGAUCGGAAUGCUUAUUUUUGCUCACUGAUUUGGAUAUCGGGUACAUGUGAGGGAAUGCUUGGAGUCAAAUAAUACAACGCUACAGCAGGAGUUAUCAACUUGAUAUACGUUUAUCACAUAAAAGCAAGUACUUGUGGUGGAAACAGACCCCGAGCCGUCACUUGAACUACCUGAUAGUGCAGCAUAGAUUGCAUUUUGCAAUGUGAUUGAAGAUCUAGAGAAAGUAAACUGGAAAGAAAUUUAGAAUGCAACUGAGCUCCA
This 1609-nucleotide small RNA is filed under the name Histoplasma capsulatum var. duboisii H88. RNAcentral's name for it is "Histoplasma capsulatum H88 hypothetical RNA". Lineage: Eukaryota; Fungi; Ascomycota; Eurotiomycetes; Onygenales; Ajellomycetaceae. The record is from RNAcentral.